AGGGCACCACCAGGAGUGGAGCCUGCGGCUUAACUUGACUCAACACGGGAAAACUCACCCGGCCCGGACACCGUAAGGAUUGACAGAUUGAGAGCUCUUUCUUGAUUCGGUGGUUGGUGGUGCAUGGCCGUUCUUAGUUGGUGGAGCGAUUUGUCUGGUUUAUUCCGAUAACGAACGAGACUCUGGCCUACUAAAUAGAGACAGGAUUAUUACUGUCCUGGAUUCUUCUUAGAGGGACAAGUGGUUUUCAGCCACACGAAAUUGAGCAAUUACAGGUCUGUGAUGCCCUUAGAUGUCCGGGGCUGCACGCGCGCUACACUGAAGGAAUCAGCGUGCUAAAACCAUUGUCGAAAGGCAUUGGUAAACCCCUCAAAAUCCUACGUGAUUGGGAUCGGGAAUUGCAGUUAUUUCCCUUGGGCGAGGAAUUCCCAGUAAGUGUGGGUCAUAAGCUCGCGUUGAUUACGUCCCUGCCCUUUGUACACACCGCCCGUCGCUGCCCGGGACUGAGCCGUUUCGAGA
RNAcentral lists this ribosomal RNA (519 nucleotides) under uncultured eukaryote. RNAcentral's name for it is "SSU rRNA". It matches the Rfam family "Eukaryotic small subunit ribosomal RNA", at positions 1161 to 1704 of the family's 1831-position model. The record is from RNAcentral.